This 253-nucleotide ribosomal RNA is filed under the name uncultured bacterium. RNAcentral's name for it is "partial 16S ribosomal RNA". It matches the Rfam family "Bacterial small subunit ribosomal RNA", at positions 524 to 776 of the family's 1533-position model. The record is from RNAcentral.
UACGAAGGGUGCAAGCGUUACUCGGAAUUACUGGGCGUAAAGCGUGCGUAGGUGGUUCGUUAAGUCUGAUGUGAAAGCCCUGGGCUCAACCUGGGAAUGGCAUUGGAUACUGGCGACCUAGAGUGCGGUAGAGGGGUGUGGAAUUCCCGGUGUAGCAGUGAAAUGCGUAGAUAUCGGGAGGAACAUCUGUGGCGAAGGCGACACCCUGGACCAGCACUGACACUGAGGCACGAAAGCGUGGGGAGCAAGCAGG